This 435-nucleotide ribosomal RNA is filed under the name uncultured bacterium. Its description in RNAcentral is "partial 16S ribosomal RNA". It matches the Rfam family "Bacterial small subunit ribosomal RNA", at positions 29 to 507 of the family's 1533-position model. The record is from RNAcentral.
AGCGAACGCUGGCGGCAGGCUUAACACAUGCAAGUCGAGCGGGCACUUUCGGGUGUCAGCGGCGGACGGGUGAGUAACGCGUGGGAACGUGCCCUCUGGUUCGGAAUAACUCAGGGAAACUUGAGCUAAUACCGGAUACGCCCUUUUGGGGAAAGGCUUGCUGCCGGAGGAUCGGCCCGCGUCUGAUUAGCUAGUUGGUGAGGUAACGGCUCACCAAGGCGACGAUCAGUAGCUGGUCUGAGAGGAUGAUCAGCCACACUGGGACUGAGACACGGCCCAGACUCCUACGGGAAGCAGCAGUGGGGAAUAUUGGACAAUUGGCGCAAGCCUGAUCCAGCCAUGCCGCGUGAGUGAUGAAGGCCUUAGGGUUGUAAAGCUCUUUUAUCCGGGACGAUAAUGACGGUACCGGAGGAAUAAGCCCCGGCUAACUUCGUG